GAUGAACGCUGGCGGCGUGCCUAAUACAUGCAAGUCGAGCGAACAGACGAGGAGCUUGCUCCUCUGACGUUAGCGGCGGACGGGCGAGUAACACGUGGAUAACCUACCUAUAAGACUGGGAUAACUUCGGGAAACCGGAGCUAAUACCGGAUAAUAUAUUGAACCGCAUGGUUCAAUAGUGAAAGACGGUUUUGCUGUCACUUAUAGAUGGAUCCGCGCCGCAUUAGCUAGUUGGUAAGGUAACGGCUUACCAAGGCAACGAUGCGUAGCCGACCUGAGAGGGUGAUCGGCCACACUGGAACUGAGACACGGUCCAGACUCCUACGGGAGGCAGCAGUAGGGAAUCUUCCGCAAUGGGCGAAAGCCUGACGGAGCAACGCCGCGUGAGUGAUGAGGGUCUUCGGAUCGUAAAACUCUGUUAUUAGGGAAGAACAAAUGUGUAAGUAACUAUGCACGUCUUGACGGUACCUAAUCAGAAAGCCACGGCUAACUACGUG
This 497-nucleotide ribosomal RNA is filed under the name uncultured bacterium. Its description in RNAcentral is "partial 16S ribosomal RNA". It matches the Rfam family "Bacterial small subunit ribosomal RNA", at positions 28 to 507 of the family's 1533-position model. The record is from RNAcentral.